AUACGGAGGGCGCGAGCGUUGUUCGGAAUCACUGGGCGUAAAGCGGGUGUAGGCGGCCUGUCAAGUCAGAUGUGAAAGCCCACGGCUCAACCGUGGAAGUGCAUCUGAAACUGGCAGGCUUGAGUACCGGAGAGGGAAGUGGAAUUCCUGGUGUAGGGGUGAAAUCCGUAGAUAUCAGGAGGAACACAGGUGGCGAAGGCGACUUCCUGGACGGAUACUGACGCUGAGACCCGAAAGCGUGGGGAGCAAACAGGAUUAGAUACCCUAGUAGUCC
RNAcentral lists this ribosomal RNA (274 nucleotides) under uncultured bacterium. Its description in RNAcentral is "partial 16S ribosomal RNA". It matches the Rfam family "Bacterial small subunit ribosomal RNA", at positions 523 to 796 of the family's 1533-position model. The record is from RNAcentral.